This 434-nucleotide ribosomal RNA is filed under the name uncultured Lachnospiraceae bacterium. RNAcentral's name for it is "partial 16S ribosomal RNA". It matches the Rfam family "Bacterial small subunit ribosomal RNA", at positions 341 to 792 of the family's 1533-position model. Lineage: Bacteria; Bacillati; Bacillota; Clostridia; Lachnospirales; Lachnospiraceae. The record is from RNAcentral.
ACGGGAGGCAGCAGUAGGGAAUAUUGCACAAUGGGGGAAACCCUGAUGCAGCGACGCCGCGUGAGCGAUGAAGUAUUUCGGUAUGUAAAGCUCUAUCAGCAGGGAAGAUAAUGACGGUACCUGACUAAGAAGCCCCGGCUAACUACGUGCCAGCAGCCGCGGUAAUACGUAGGGGGCAAGCGUUAUCCGGAUUUACUGGGUGUAAAGGGAGUGUAGAUGGCAUGGCAAGUCAGAUGUGAAAGCUCGGGGCUCAACCCCGGAACUGCAUUUGAAACUGUAGCCCUUGAGUAUCGGAGAGGCAAGCGGAAUUCCUAGUGUAGCGGUGAAAUGCGUAGAUAUUAGGAGGAACACCAGUGGCGAAGGCGGCUUGCUGGACGACAACUGACGCUGAGGCGCGAAAGCGUGGGGAGCAAACAGGAUUAGAUACCCUGGUA